Molecule: ribosomal RNA, 253 nt
Filed under: uncultured bacterium
Lineage: Bacteria
Description: partial 16S ribosomal RNA
Rfam family: Bacterial small subunit ribosomal RNA
Source: RNAcentral
UACGUAGGCAGCAAGCGUUGUUCGGAGUUACUGGGCGUAAAGGGUGCGUAGGCGGCUUUUUAAGUUUGGUGUGAAAUCUCCCGGCUCAACUGGGAGGGUGCGCCGAAUACUGAGAGGCUAGAGUGUGGGAGAGGAAAGUGGAAUUCCUGGUGUAGCGGUGAAAUGCGUAGAGAUCGGGAGGAACACCAGUGGCGAAGGCGGCUACCUGGACCAGCACUGACACUGAAGCACGAAAGCGUGGGGAGCAAACAGG